RNAcentral lists this ribosomal RNA (497 nucleotides) under uncultured bacterium. Its description in RNAcentral is "partial 16S ribosomal RNA". It matches the Rfam family "Bacterial small subunit ribosomal RNA", at positions 28 to 507 of the family's 1533-position model. The record is from RNAcentral.
GAUGAACGCUGGCGGCGUGCCUAAUACAUGCCAGUCGAGCGAACGGACGAGAAGCUUGCUUCUCUGAUGUUAGCGGCGGACGGGUGAGUAACACGUGGAUAACCUACCUAUAAGACUGGGAUAACUUCGGGAAACCGGAGCUAAUACCGGAUGAUAUUUUGAACCGCAUGGUUCAAAAGUGAAAGACGGUCUUGCUGUCACUUAUAGAUGGAUCCGCGCUGCAUUAGCUAGUUGGUAAGGUAACGGCUUACCAAGGCAACGAUGCAUAGCCGACCUGAGAGGGGGAUCGGCCACACUGGAACUGAGACACGGUCCAGACUCCUACGGGAGGCAGCAGUAGGGAAUCUUCCGCAAUGGGCGAAAGCCUGACGGAGCAACGCCGCGUGAGUGAUGAAGGUCUUCGGAUCGUAAAACUCUGUUAUUAGGGAAGAACAUAUGUGUAAGUAACUGUGCACAUCUUGACGGUACCUAAUCAGAAAGCCACGGCUAACUACGUG